Molecule: long non-coding RNA, 2374 nt
Organism: Vidua chalybeata
Lineage: Eukaryota; Metazoa; Chordata; Aves; Passeriformes; Viduidae
Exons: 3
Source: RefSeq, a predicted model, not a curated record
AGGUGGUCAUGUGCGCGGAAGGCCGGGGGCGCGUGACCGCGCGGCCCGGCGGCUAUGGCGGGCGGGAUGAGCGCGGCCCGGCCCGGCCCCUCAGCGCUCGGGGCAGGCGAGCCUCCGCAGCUCGUGUGCCCGCUGGGAGAGGGAAAGAUACUGCGUUGAGAAGUAAAUAGGUCGGCGAAGUGUUCUAACGGCACGUUUCAGUGUCCCAGGGAGUCUUAAUGGCCUGCUGCAUAAUCCCAUUAAAGCGCCUGCCAGCGCAGCUCGCUGUCACCUUCCUCAGCCUUAGAGUCAGAUGUAUAAAACCAGCUGCCAUGUGGCACGACAGCUUACGGUGCAGAAGCUGAGGCUGGCUGGCACGGUUCUGGAGGUGCCAUCUAGUUUUCAUAUCUAUUUUUUGAAAGAAAAAUCCCACUUCCAUGAAGGCCUCUCCAAGUCCUAUGGCAAACACGGUUUAGGGGCUGUACAGAGCUUUUUGAGCCACUUCUUUCAGGGGAUGCAGUGCCCUUCCUGCAAGGAGCAAGGACCCUCUCUCGAGGAAAGAGGCAGAGCCGGAGCGUGAAGGUCUGUGUGAGCUGAAACGUAGUGAAAAGAGGGUUUAAUCCUGAAACCAGGAUUACACAGCCCUUCCAACGGCACCAGCAGCCCAGUAAGGCACUCCUACUGAGACACGGGGUCAGUGCCUUACUGGGCUACUGGGCACACUUCACGACUUUUACGAGUUGUGGAGUUUUCUUUCCACAAAUCACUGCCGCUGUGGGGACGCCUCCUUAAAAUCCCUGCUUUCCCAACACUUUUUGUUUGCUCAGCAGGCAAACCCAGGAAACUUUUCUAGAGGUUUGAACUGCACCAAGGUAUGUACAAAACUGAAACAGAAGAGCACAGGGAAUUAAAACCCAGGAAACUUUUCUAGAGGUUUGAACUGCACCAAGGUAUGUACAAAACUGAAACAGAAGAGCACAGGGAAUUAAAACAGGAUGUAUAAGAGAGCUUUCUAACUAAUUCUCCAUUCUCCAGUUGAUGGAUGCAAGCCAAUCCUACAAGUGUUACACCUGCCUAGAUCUGGCAAGGUGUGAUCCUCAGUCAAAGCGCUCAGAAUUCCCAUCUCAAGAGAUCUAAAAUUGACCUUUUAAGUACCUGUUGAGGAUGGGACAAGGCAGCAGUGUGAAUUUAGCCCAGAGCCUGCGGGCAUCACUGAACAUGGCAGCACAAGAGAGCCAAGGGACAGCUGAGCAGGAUUGACAUUGCUGCUCCUCAAAAACACACACCUGGAGCUGCACACGCCUGUGGGAAAGGCCCAACCAAGCCAACACUCACAGUGCCCAACAACAGAAAUGUGAGCUGACAUUCAUCCCUCAUGCUGGUCACUUGCAGAGGAAUCUUGCAAUAAAUGGCAGCUACAGGACAAGAAGAAUGGUACCAUUACUACCUCAGCAGGAAUGAGCAGGAAGGUGACUCAGAAAGAGUGUCCAGCACUGCCAUGCCACCCUUCUGAGUGUGAUUUGUUUGUGGAAGAUGAGAGAGACCUGUCUGGGUGAUGAGAGGUCCUCACUGCUGUAGUGGCACCAAAAACCUGCUUGCAAAGAGUAUUUCAAGCACCCAACAUCCCACUGUUCUGCACUGCUAAGAGUCUGGCUCACUUGGAAUUGCUUGGACUGCUCUGGAAACUUGUGCAUCUCCAGUCCCCUGGGGGCUGCCUGAAGAGGCAGAUCCUGGCCUUGGAUCCUCCACCCAGUGCCAAUAAAACCUAUUGCAACACUGAUAUUUUUAUCCAGGUAACAGUCUUGUAUGAAACAAAUAGGUAGUUACUUACUGUCUUCUUAGUAUUUUGUGUAGUGGGUUUUUUUGUGAUUUUUGUGAAAAACACCUUUACUUUCUUGUGAAAAUUUAAAAAGUUUAAUAAAGGACAGUAGGAGACAGAAAUAAAGGGUUAAAACAGCUGGGUGUUGGAUAUUUAGUUAAGAGUACACUUGUUAUUUUGGAAAUGCUUUUAAUAUAAUAUUUUAUUACAUCAUUUUUUAUAUAUUUAUAAAUAAUUAUGUAUAGUAAACUUUUUUUUCUAUAUUAGUUUACAUAUUCUAAGAACUGUCUAGUAUGGCUCUUUUUUGGUUUUAUUUUCUUAGAGUACUCUUAGGUUGUGGUAUUAGUUUAUUUUUAUCACUUUUAGUUUUUGGGUCUUGGUCUACACUGUUUUUAGACAGUGAGUGUUGAUAGUUGGUAUAUUUGUAGUAGGUGUUUUCUUUAUAUGUUUACUGGGUGUUAUUUCAUUUAAGUAGGUAUUUUAAUAUAAGUACACUUAUAUCAGUUAUUUUAUUAAGUUUAAUUAACAAUAGAAACAAAAACUAUAUUUUAUGUAAAGUUUUUUAACAUUACACAU